RNAcentral lists this ribosomal RNA (690 nucleotides) under Bacillus sp. SNPK-3. RNAcentral describes it as "bacterial SSU rRNA". It matches the Rfam family "Bacterial small subunit ribosomal RNA", at positions 34 to 706 of the family's 1533-position model. Lineage: Bacteria; Bacillati; Bacillota; Bacilli; Caryophanales; Bacillaceae. The record is from RNAcentral.
CGAAAUAGGGGUGUGUCUCUAUUCUCAGCCAAGCGAGAUGUAUUGGUUUCUUCCUCUCAUGAUUAGCGGCGGACGGGUGAGUAACACGUGGGCAACCUGCCUGUAAGACUGGGAUAACUUCGGGAAACCGGAGCUAAUACCGGAUAAUCCUUUUCCUCUCAUGAGGAAAAGCUGAAAGUCGGUUUACGCUGACACUUACAGAUGGGCCCGCGGCGCAUUAGCUAGUUGGUGAGGUAACGGCUCACCAAGGCGACGAUGCGUAGCCGACCUGAGAGGGUGAUCGGCCCCACUGGGACUGAGACACGGCCCAGACUCCUACGGGAGGCAGCAGUAGGGAAUCUUCCGCAAUGGACGAAAGUCUGACGGAACAACGCCGCGGGAGCGAAGAAGGCCUUCGGGUCGUAAAGCUCUGGUGGUAGGGAAAAACAAGUAUCGGAAUAACUGGCGGUACCUUGACGGUACCUAACCCGAAAGCCCCGGCUAACUACGUGCCAGCAGCCGCGGUAAUACGUAGGUGGCAAGCGGUGGCCGGAAUUAUUGGGCGGAAAGCGCGCGCAGGCGGUCCUUUAAGUCUGAUGUGAAAGCCCACGGCUCAACCGGGGAGGGUCAUUGGAAACUGGGGGACUUGAGUACCGAAGAGGAAAGCGGAAUUCCACGUGUAGCGGUGAAAUGCGUAGAGAUGGGGAGGGA